RNAcentral lists this transfer RNA (84 nucleotides) under Lentinula edodes (shiitake mushroom). RNAcentral's name for it is "tRNA-Ile". It matches the Rfam family "tRNA". Rfam says of the family: Transfer RNA (tRNA) molecules are approximately 80 nucleotides in length. Their secondary structure includes four short double-helical elements and three loops (D, anti-codon, and T loops). Further hydrogen bonds mediate the characteristic L-shaped molecular structure. tRNAs have two regions of fundamental functional importance: the anti-codon, which is responsible for specific mRNA codon recognition, and the 3' end, to which the tRNAs corresponding amino acid is attached (by aminoacyl-tRNA synthetases). tRNAs cope with the degeneracy of the genetic code in two manners: having more than one tRNA (with a specific anti-codon) for a particular amino acid; and 'wobble' base-pairing, i.e. permitting non-standard base-pairing at the 3rd anti-codon position. Lineage: Eukaryota; Fungi; Basidiomycota; Agaricomycetes; Agaricales; Omphalotaceae. The record is from RNAcentral.
GGCCGACUAGCUCAGCUGGUUAGAGCGUCGUGCUAAUAUGAAUGUAGAACGCGAAGGUCUUGGGUUCGAUCCCCACGUUGGCCA